Molecule: ribosomal RNA, 440 nt
Filed under: uncultured bacterium
Lineage: Bacteria
Description: partial 16S ribosomal RNA
Rfam family: Bacterial small subunit ribosomal RNA
Source: RNAcentral
CCUACGGGAGGCUGCAGUGGGGGAUAUUGCACAAUGGGGGGAACCCUGAUGCAGCGACGCCGCGUGGGUGAAGAAGCGCCUCGGCGCGUAAAGCCCCGUCAGCAGGGAAGAAAAUGACGGUACCUGACGAAGAAGCCCCGGCUAACUACGUGCCAGCAGCCGCGGUAAUACGUAGGGGGCAAGCGUUAUCCGGAUUUACUGGGUGUAAAGGGGGCGCAGACGGCGAUGCAAGCCAGGAGUGAAAGCCCGGGGCCCAACCCCGGGACUGCUCUUGGAACUGCGUGGCUGGAGUGCAGGAGGGGCAGGCGGAAUUCCUGGUGUAGCGGUGAAAUGCGUAGAUAUCAGGAGGAACACCGGUGGCGAAGGCGGCCUGCUGGACUGCAACUGACGUUGAGGCCCGAAAGCGUGGGGAGCAAACAGGAGUAGAUACCCGAGUAGUC